Molecule: long non-coding RNA, 140 nt
Organism: Herpailurus yagouaroundi (jaguarundi)
Lineage: Eukaryota; Metazoa; Chordata; Mammalia; Carnivora; Felidae
Exons: 2
Source: RefSeq, a predicted model, not a curated record
CAGCUGACACCCAAGAAGGAAUCCUUGAAGACGUCUUUGGUGCGAAAAGGCGAUUGUAUUAAAGCAUGGGGACAGGACUCACGGGCAGAAAAAGCUGACAGGUGGUGAUGCAUGCCAUGAUGUAAGUAAGACAGCAUGCC